Ctenocephalides felis (cat flea) is the source of this 180-nucleotide long non-coding RNA. RefSeq lists it as uncharacterized. The record is from RefSeq and is a predicted model, not a curated record. The transcript is spliced from 3 exons. NCBI's taxonomy places the organism in Eukaryota, Metazoa, Arthropoda, Insecta, Siphonaptera, Pulicidae.
GUCUCCUGAAUAUAAAACUUCCAAGAAGUACAUCAUAUAUGAAUAUCCUGUAUCCUCGCAUUUGAUGUAAUGAACUGGCGAUAGAAUGAAAUCAGUCAGUGUUAAAAAUGUAUGUGUAAAAGCGACUUUAAGAUGAUGGAGAUUUGUACACUGAACAUAAAACUUCCAAAAUUUGGGGCA